GCUGGCAGGAGGAGGAAGGAUGGCUGCUGAUCUGCAGGUGCUGCUGUGUUCGGGCCGCCGCUGGAGACUGUUGGGUCUGCGGGCGCUGCCGGAGGGAGGAGGCGGGCAGGAGGCCGGUUGCAGAAGAUGAAGAAGAGUGUUGCCCCGGCGCUGCCGUGUGUGAGCUGCUGGCUCACUGGUGAGGACAGCGCUGCUGCUGCUGGCGGCGAAAACCGGCCGAGAGAAAUGUACUGGCCGGCUGCUGUGGGGAGGUGCAGACACCGGUCCCUGUCUGUGUUGCCAGAGAAGGAAGGUCUGGUGCUGGAAGGGAACAGCUGGGAUGGAGAUGAGGAGGUUGAUUUGUGAGGGUGGGAAAGAUCGGCUAUGGCUGGUUGAAGGAGAAGAGAAAAAAAAUGAAAAAGGGGGGGUGUGGGGCUGGCGGCUGAACGAGGGAGGAAAAAGGAAAAAAAAUGAAAAAGGGGGGGUGUGGGGCUGGCGGCUGAACGAGGGAGGAGAAAAGGAAAAAAAAUGAAAGGGGGGGGUGUGGGGCUGGCGGCUGAACGAGGGAGGAGAAAAAAAAAUCAGAAAAAGGGGGUGUGGGGCUGGCGGCUGAAUGAUUGAGAAGAAAAAAAAAAUAAUUCAAAAGGGGGAUCUCUGGGGCUGGCGGCCGGUUGAGGGAGAAGAGAAAAAGAAUCAAAAGGGGGGAGGGGGGGGAGGUGGGGCUGGCCGGUCGGUUGAGAUCAAUAUAUAUUUUUAACACACAAACUCGAAUUGUAAAAUCAUAAAAUCAUAAAGAAAUUUUUUAAAUGAAAAACAGUGCAAAAAACAUCGAGAGUUUUUUUAAAAGAAAAAAACAUAUUCUUUCAAGAAAACAUAUAUCAUCAAGAUAAUAAAAAGCAAUUAACUAAAAGCAACUCUACAAUAAUGAGUCAAACCAGUGAAUCCUUAUAUUUAUUAGUUAAUUAUCAUAAGAUCUCUCAUAUUUAUUCAUGUCUUUUUUAUCAUGAUCAAUUAUUUAUUGACAGUGCUUUGAAACAACUUGGAGUAUGGAUAGUGCUUUGAAAUCUACAAGCUGGGGUGGGUGUGAUAGGGUGUUUUGUGUUGGUGUUGAAAAAAAAAAAAGCAAACCAACCAACAUCUGCAAAUUAUAAUUGUACCAUUGAUGAGGACGAUUAUGAGAUUGGAGAAUUAUUUCAGUGUAGUCUAAAAUUCAAUUAACUUUUGACAAUGCUUUUUAAUCUAUUGUCUGUUAAGCUAAAUAUAAAUAUAUUUAGAUGUAAUAAAACAUAAUAUAUAUAAAACACUAAUAAAAUUGAAGGAAGACCAUUUACAGACCAUGUCUUCAAUUGAUUUUAUUAUGCAGGCAUGCAUCAUCUCAUUAGCAACUAUCAUUGAUGCUGAUGAUAGUAGAGGUUUUUUAAUUUCUGCAUUCCAAUUAACUUAUGUUUUACCUUUCCUUUUAUUUUUACGGCUUUUUCAAAUCUUUGUCUGAUUCACUACUUCACCCUGUAGAAACUUUUUACAUAGAACUAGCAACAUCAACAGUUCUUUUCCCAACCUCAAUACUUCGUCCUUGAUUAAAUUUAUAAAAUAAAUUUGUUUUGUGCUUGCAGUUUUGUUAGCGGUAUCUAGGCUACAAGUCACUAACAAUAAACUGACUAAGUAAUCCAUGAAUACAUUAGGUGAUUGUCAAUUCAUUAUAAAGGAUUUCAACAUCAGAGAGUAAUUUUUGUCUAUCACUUUCUAAACAAGUUCAAAAUUAAAACCCGUCCAUUCUUCCUAUUCAUUUACCCAAAUCAAAGAACUACUUUUAAUCUUUUUCCCAUGCAUAAAGCCAUGACGAAAAAGCUUAUAAUUCUUAAUCAUGAGCCUACAUCCAUCACUCCGUAGCUUACAAAUAUACAAAAAUUGUAGCACAAUUUUGAUUUUUUAUAAUUUUUUUGUAUUUUUGAAAAUGAAUAAUAUCAAUAUCGACUCAAAGAGAAAAAUUAAUGAUUUUAAAAAUGACGCUUAAAAAAUUAAACGUGUUCCAAAAACUUUUAAAAAUUUUAAAUUUUUUUUAGACGACGUUGAAAAUACUAAAAAUAAUACAAAUAUAUUAAAAACAUAUAUAUAUUUUUUAUGUUUUUCUAUUUUUGAAUUGUUCAGAAAUUUUAUAAAAAAAAUUGAUCAAAAAUUGGAUAACAACAUCAUGUAAAUUGCAUUAUCACACUUAUUAAUGCACUAUUGUUUGAUUUUGCAAGUUGUGUAAUUAACUAUUUAUCUAUAAUCACGGCAAUAUGUUGGAAGGUUGCAUAAUAUUUUUUAAAAAUAUUUUUUAAUUAAAAAUAUAUUAAAAUAAUAACUUUUUUAUAAUAAUUUUUAAUUUUUAAUAUUAACACAUCAAUAUAAUAAAAAAUUCUUAAAAUAUAUCAAUUUAUUAUAUUUUUAAAUGAAAAAUAAAUUUAAAAAGAAAACUAAUAAACAGAUACCUGGGCCCACCAACAAAAGCUUUGAAGGACCAUAUUGCAAACAAUAGCCCGAAUAAGAAAAAAUUUAAAAAAAAAGAAAAAGAAAAGGGAAUAAUGUUCACACACUAAGUCAAAUUAAAGGUAUUGUCUUUAAUGAAAUUCCAUUAAACAUAUUCAAAUAUUCAAUUCAAUGGGCUGAAUCAUAUAUAGCAGGUUACUUCAUGUCUUACAAAUUUUAAUUUUGUAAUAAAAAGUUUUCUUAACAAGGGCACUUUGAGCGUGUUUGGCAGUGUGGUAGUGGUUGCUUUUCAAAUAAUUUUUCGUGCCGAAAUGCAUGCUAAUGAUAUUUUUUUAUUUUUUAAAAAUUAUUUUUAACAUCAGCACAUCAAAACGAUCUAAAAAGUAUAAACCGUAUUAAAUUUUAACAAAAAAAUGAAUUUUUUGGGAACGCCAAUUGAACCGCGUUCCCAAACACUGCUUUUGAAUAUCUUCGGAGCCACCGGCAAGAGGAAGUGUAAUAUACAAGGAUUAAAACACGCCAAUUCAAUCCAAAGUUUUAGAUGAUAGUUUAAUCCUUUAAUUAUGUAAAGUCGUUAAUAUAGUCAUAAUUAAAUUAUUUUGUGCAUGUUUUUUCUUUUUAACUCGUAUGGCAACUCGUCAAGUUUGGGUUACACAAUGAAAGUAUUCUCCUAUUAUAUAUAAUAAUGAUAUAAGUUUGGGAGGGCUUGCAGAGUUUGCAUAAGUAUACUUGAAUGUUCAUCGAUCCACAUCCUUUUUUUAGAUUUAACGUUGUUAUAUAUAUAUAUUUUAGAUUCGUGGUUUGUGCUUACAUUGUUGAUUUGUAGUCAGAAGUUUCUCGAGAUUGAUUGGGCUAGACCAUCUUCUUUUCUACUUCUCUUCUUUUCAUGUCACUGGGUGUUAAAUUUUAUUGCUACACUACUGUCCUUUUGUAAAUCCUAAAUUAAUUUAAUUUUCAGUUUGGAUCGAUAAUUUGUUUGUUGGUAUAAAGAAGAGAAUUAUUUGUUAAUUACAGUGUAAUUGUCUAGAAAGUAGACCAGGAAAUCUUUUGUUUCACUUCUUUUUUUUUUCUUUUUUCUUUUUUUUGUCUCACACGCCACCUGACUUGGUGCUGAACCUGCUUUGUUGUGUUUUUCAUCCUUUGAAUUUUUCUAUCUCUAGCUGGAUAUGUUUAAUGAAUUUGUAUGGCUUUUGAAAGGGAAUUAAUGGCUUAUACAACCUAAACUCUUUGAAAAGCUUUUUCUAUUAUGGAGGGCGUUGAAUUUAUCUCUUUUUAUUUUUUCUAAGAUUAACUUUUUAGUUCUGUGGUUUGUUUAGAUUUUCCAUGGUAUGCCAUUUUUUUUUUUCUUUUUGAGCACUUCAACUCUUGCCUUUUACAUCUACAUGAUUUUUCAUGCAAUUCACGUAUUGCACGUUAAAAUUCACGCGGAAUCAUCUUGGUGAUUUUUCAUUUUGUUUGAUCAAUUACUUAAAUUAUUCAUUGAAAUCGUCCCCAAUAUUUAUUUAAUAGAGGACUAUUAGAAAACUCAAAUAAGACUAUCAAAGAUUCACAUGUCAAAAACUAAUUGUGAUUAAAAAAAUUAUUAACACUUCAACACACCCAAUCUGAGAUAAACUAUUUCGUAGACUUGAUAUGUUAUAAAAAUUCUAAAAAUUAAAUUUUUUCAUUAAAUAUUAAAAAUACAGCUUAUACUUAAAUUCAUAAUUCUUUAUCCGUGAACAAAUUAAAAUAUUAAAUUCCUUUUUAUUCUUUAUAAUUUCAUCAUAAAAAAAACAUUCAUAUAAACGUUCAAACCAUCAUACACUUUCUUUCCUUUUUUUUUUUUUUCACAUCCAUGAUACAAAAUACAAAUUCAAAACGACUAAACAAAAAUUACAUUAAAAUUACAAUAAUAACCCCACAACAAUCUAAAUUACAGGGAAUGUCCUUCCAUGCGCCACCGCCACGGUGCAUGGAUUCACGCACCAUCGCAAGAAACCCAGGCAAGUAGGAGUGUCAGUCACGGCUUCCUCUCUUCUUCCCCUCCUCGCCGGCGGUGACCUGCAAAAUACCAAAAAAGGCAACAAGCAAACUCUUUUAAUCUUCUUUCAUGGGUUUUCGGAUCUGCCUCUCUCUCUUCUUCUUCAGAUCUGCUUCCCUGCAGAUCGGCUCUUCUAUGGGUUUUUUUUCGUCUUCCCCUCCGCUUCGGGUAGCUGGCAGGAGGAGGAAGGAUGGCUGCUGAUCUGUAGGUGCCACUGUGUUCGGGCCACCGCUAGAGACUGUUGUGUCUGCGGGCGCUGCCGGAGGGAGGAGGCGGGCAGGAGGCGGGCAGGAGGCCGGUUGCAGAAGAUGAAGAAGAGUGUUGCCCCGGCGCUGCCGUGUGUGAGCUGUUGGCUCACUGGUGAGGACGGCGCUGCUGCUGCUAGCGGCGAAAACAGGCCGAGAGAAAUGUAGUGGCCGGCUGCUGUGGGGAGGUGCAGACGCCGGUCCCUGUCUGUGUUGCCAGAGAAGGAAGGUCUGGUGUUGGAAGGGAACAGCUGGGAUGGAGAUGAGGAGGUUGAUUUGUGAGGGUGGGGAAGAUCGGUUGUGGCUGGUUGAAGGAGAAGAGAAAAAAAAAUGAAAAGGGGGGAGGGUGUGGGGCUGGCGGCUGAAUGAGGGAGGAGAAAAAAAAAAGAAAAAAAGGGGGGGGGGUGUGAGGCUGGCGGCUGAAUGAUUGAGAAGAGAAAAAAAAAUAAAAUCAAAAGGGGGAUCUCCGGGGGCUGGCGGCCGGUUGAGGGAGAAGAGAAAAAAAAUCAAAAAGAGGGAGGGGGGUGGGGCUGGCCGGUCGGUUAAGGGGGACGACCGGGGAAGGAGAUGGUCAGGUCUGGUUUAUGUUUGGAUCAAGGGUGGGGUCAGCGGCGGCUCCGUUGAGAGAAGAGGAGUUAAGCUUUUAGGGUCCCCCCCUAAAUUACCCUUCCAUUUUGU
Molecule: long non-coding RNA, 5391 nt
Filed under: Populus tremula
Lineage: Eukaryota; Viridiplantae; Streptophyta; Magnoliopsida; Malpighiales; Salicaceae
Description: long non-coding RNA (PTRE_LNC000290)
Source: RNAcentral